RNAcentral lists this long non-coding RNA (1012 nucleotides) under Homo sapiens (human). Its description in RNAcentral is "HSALNT0049059". The record is from RNAcentral. Lineage: Eukaryota; Metazoa; Chordata; Mammalia; Primates; Hominidae.
GCUGGCUGUCCAUGUGGGGAUACCACCCACAGGGACCCAAUUUCCUCCAGACCUUGGCAAACUCCUGUCGACAGCUCCAAGACCCAAGGACUCCAUAGAAUGGAGAGGGGGCUCUGCUCACGGCUGGGAAAAUGCCAGGGGCCCCAUGACAGGUGACAUAAUGAACUGAUUGGAAUCAUUAUCUCAGAAAUAAGCUUUCUCCAUUGCUUCUCAGAUGGUGUCUUCAUUCAUCACUGAUAAGAAAGGACAUGGAGCCCAGCUGAGAGAGUACAAGUCACCCAUCCACCUUCACACCUUCAAGGCUUCCAGUUCCAGCAUCCUUGACUCUGUUUAUGGAUGAAGACCUUAGGAUUUGGCAAAUAGAAUUUUUUUUCUGACCAUGGUCCAGAUGGGCUUGUUUUACCUUGGCUUUUUUACAUGCGGUUCCAAUUUCCUGGCAGCUGGGGCUACUGGUGAGGAAUCAGGACCCAGGACAAUCAGGGGCAUUGACUGUGGGCAUGGUUCAGUUUCUUGUGUGUGGUCUCGCUCAAGAAGGGAGGGCACAUCACUACAGAAGGGUUUUUUGUUACCUCUGGGGCAAUGUUGUGUUUUGUGAAAGAAAGUAUUUUAACCACACAUUUGAACAAAGCUGGCAAAACAAUAGUUCCUCUUGUGGUCUUCCAUUAAUCUUCUUUUAUGUAAGGAGAAAAUCGGAUGCCUUAAUGAUGUCAUCAUUUGGCCUGGAAAAGAACCAAUGGAGUUAAAGGGCCCCAUUGUUUCCCUGACACAGUGGUGGAAGAGGAAGAGGCAUUUGCUUUUACUGUUCCAGAGAGAAGAGGGCACGUCUGCAGCCCACCACCCAUAAACACGCUGGAAUCUUAACACUGGGAGGAUUCGCCAGGAGGGCUUUGUGGACAUAGUCUUCAUUUCCACAGAGGCUCCUCCAUCUGUCAUCUGCUUUCUUGUCACCCCCCAAAUAAAAAGAGCUCAAAUUUGUUUAUGGACGUGUGGUCCGCCUGCUGCUCCUCAUCCC